This 254-nucleotide ribosomal RNA is filed under the name uncultured bacterium. RNAcentral describes it as "partial 16S ribosomal RNA". It matches the Rfam family "Bacterial small subunit ribosomal RNA", at positions 524 to 776 of the family's 1533-position model. The record is from RNAcentral.
CACGUAGGGGGCGAGCGUUGUCCGGAUUUAUUGGGCGUAAAGAGCUCGUAGGCGGCUCAGUAAGUCAGGUGUGAAAACUCCAGGCUCAACCUGGAGACGCCACUUGAUACUGCUGUGACUAGAGUCCGGUAGGGGAGCAUGGAAUUCCUGGUGUAGCGGUGAAAUGCGCAGAUAUCAGGAGGAACACCAGUGGCGAAGGCGGUGCUCUGGGCCGGAACUGACGCUGAGGAGCGAAAGCGUGGGGAGCAAACAGG